GUAAAGUUUUAAGCAAUAAUCAUAUAUCGUUUAUGAGAUAUGGCGUGACAUGUGAAAACCCAUCCCCCUUUUUUACAAAAAACUCAAUAACUCUAAAAUAAAAUUUUGAAUCAUCACCAAAAAGUAUACAGAUCUUUGGAUUAAUAUAAUUAAGAAGUGUGUGAAAUUUAAAGUAAUAAUCAGAAAUUGUUUUUGAGAUACAGCGCGACAUGUGAAAAAUACACCCCCCCUGUAUGGGGUUUGGGGGGUUGGAAGGCACACUAUAUUAAUAAUACAUGGGUGAUGGGUAUCAGAGCAACUUUUCACACUAUAAUGCACUAUAAGUCUCAAUUACAAUUGUCUGGGUGGCGGGUGCAGACAAAAAGUGCCUUCCAACCCCCCCAUACAUUUUUUUCUGGAAUAGCCCUUAUAAAGU
This 415-nucleotide long non-coding RNA is filed under the name Mytilus galloprovincialis (Mediterranean mussel). The record is from RNAcentral. Lineage: Eukaryota; Metazoa; Mollusca; Bivalvia; Mytilida; Mytilidae.